This 4239-nucleotide long non-coding RNA is filed under the name Sus scrofa (pig). RNAcentral's name for it is "lncRNA (ENSSSCG00065068853.1)". The record is from RNAcentral. Lineage: Eukaryota; Metazoa; Chordata; Mammalia; Artiodactyla; Suidae.
GAGGAGGUAUCGGGAGGAGGCUGCUCAGAGGAGGCUGCUCAGCAGGGCCGGGAGGCUGCCGUGGAGACAGUGAUAGUUGUGUCAGCUCGCAACUGUGCUCAGAAACACCGACUCAGCACUCGCUUCCCAGCGCAAAGCUCUGCAGGGCCCGGAGGCUCGGGGGCAAGGAGGGAAAGGGAGCGGGGAGGCUUCUGGAGGACAAAAGAAAGAAGACACGCAGAGAGACGUGGAGGGAUAGAGGCUGAAAGAGAGAGGAGGUGAGAGGGACAGACAGAGACCUGGAGGGAGAGAUUGGCAGAGAAUGAAACAAAGACCGAGAUGCAGAGAAUCCAGAGUCUGGAGAGGCCGAGCGCCAGGAGAGAGCACGUGGGAGCUUAGGCAGUGUGGGAGACAGAAGGGAGAUGCAGGCCAGGGCCCUGUGCCCUGAUGGAGCGACCCUCCUCGGGGAAGAUUCUUCUUUCAAGGCCUGGGUGAAGACCUCUGCCUCCAGGAAGCCUCCUGUGGCCAGCCAAGCCAUAACUCUUAGACCUCUGGGGAGGUGGUCCCCAUUUGCUGCCAACUCCAGCGCCAGGCUGAUGGCUGCCAGGAGCAAGAUGACAGAAGGACGGGAGAGGCUGCAUCCAGGGAGGCAUGGAACCACCCAGAGGACCGGGCCAUGCGCUGCUCUGGCCUCCUCUGCCCCUGGGGGACCCUCCACUGCUCAGGCCUGGGGGAGCAGCCAGGUAAGGGUGGUCUCUGGCUGGGCGGAGGGUUUGUCAAUGUGUGGGUGCUGGGGUAGCCUGGGUGGCUGGAGUGGGAGAGAAAGGAACUCAGCAUCAGGUUUCUCCUUUCAGCAGAGAUGCUGGACGUCCUGGGUUAGGAGAUCAGGCCUGUCACACGUCACCCUCCACCCUCACCAACAAAACACAUAUACAAAUGGAAAGAGACAGAGAGAGGCUGAGUUAGCUGCUCUCUUGAUCUGUGCUUACCUUUGUGUCUUACUCUUCCUUCUUUGCGUGAUGACUUUUCCCUCCUUCAUUUAAUAACCAUGCACUGGCCCUGCUGGCCGCUCUGUUCUGGGUGCCGGGCAGAGCAAGGUGGGGGAGAUGCCCUUUAGGGAUAUAGACAAGUAGUGAGUGAUGAUACCACAUUUCUCUCCCCUUCACUCUGUCCCUUUGUCUCGCUAGCCCCCCCAAUCCCCAUCUUUUUCUUUUCUUUUCUUUUAUUUCCGCCUUUUCUAGGGCUGCCCCGUGGCACAUGGAGGUUCCCAGGCUAGGGGUCUAAUCAGAGCUGUAGCCGCUGGCCUACACCACAGCCACAGCAACGCGGGAUCUGAGUUGUGUCUGCAACCUACACCACAGCUCACGGCAAUGCUGGAUCCUUAACCCACUGAGCAAGGCCGGGGAUCGAACCUGCAACCUCAUGGUUCCUAGUCAGAUUCGUUAACCACUGCGCCACGACGGGAACUUCAAUCCCCACCUUUUUCUGUCUCUGUCUCUCAAACCAGAGAAGCAAGGCUUUCUUUUCCAAUGAGAGGCAGAACUGCUUACUGGAGGUAGUGGCCUUGAACUCAUCUUAAAUUGCUCACUGUGACUCUCCCCUGGGCCAGCUUCCUAGGGGCAGGGUGGUCUCAGUCCAGGUCCCCAGGCCCUUGAAGAUGAAAAGAAGUCCCUGGUUCAGCCUUUUUUGGAGACAAGGAAAACCGAGGCAUGGAGAGAGGAUGGCGUCCUGCCUGGAGGAGGUGGCGACGAGAAUUCGGGUCAAACUGCCAAGAGCUUAGGCCUGGCGCAUAUCCUGCCCUAACCUGUAUCUCAGGCCUAACCCCCUAGGCCUCAAGAGCCUAUCACAUCUCUUUCUGAGGUGAACUAGGAGGUGCUGAGACUUGGCUUUUGGCAGACUCUUCCCACCUUAGCCCUUGUCCACUGCCAAGGUCAGUAUGUUGCCACUGUUUGUGCAAAGUUGCUUCAAGUCACAGGCUCUGGCAGGGACAAUAGGCUCCCUCGGCCCAUGGCUGCUGUGUGUUGGGGGGCAAGUGGGAACCUAGGAAGUUUCACAUGGAGCUUUCAAGUGGAUCUAAACUGGGACUCCGAAUUGCAUUGCACCUGCUGGGUGGUGGGCCCAGGAGCAGCCCCAGGCACUAUUUGCAUGAGUUGAUAUGCAGGGUAGAUGCAUAUGUGAAGAAGAAGCUCCAUGCAUGGCUGUGGUGGACAGAGAUGGGGUGAGGGGACUGGCGGAGCUGGGAACCCAGGGGUGGGGGUGGGGGGCCAGGAUGCAGCCCCUGCUGCCUGCCAUGUACCUUUCUCUCUGUUCCUUCACCUCCGGGCUUUGCAUAUGCUGCUCCUGCACGUCUCCACCCCCACAUCACCCCGGGUCCCCCACCUAUCUCAUGCCACACUGCCCAGCAAGGACAGGUCCCUGUUCAGCCCCCCUCUCACCGUGUAUCAAUUGAUGUUUGCAGUGAUGUGGUGGGGCAGGCUCCCUUUGGGGAUGUUGGUCCUGGAGGGCAGGGUUUGGCAGGAGGAGAUGAGGUGAGGGAAGGGCGGUGAGCUCCCUGAAGGGACUUUGGGGACAUGGAGCUCCCAAGAGGGGCUGCUUCGGGUUUCUGGUGACCCAGCAUGGGCCAGACAUGGGGACAGAAGCUUCCCCAGUCCACUUCCGUCCAGAACACAGAGGGUCUCUGUGAUGCUAAGAACCAGCCAGGUGGCCCCAGGAAGGGGUCAGAUCUGUCACCCCAGCUCCCUUCUCAUGGGGCCACAUGUGUGGCUGGCGCAUGGGCACAUGGGAGAGGCUUCUUUCUUCCCAGGCUCCCGAGCUCUGCCUGGGAUGGGGUGCAGGCUGCAGGUGGAGAUGGCGAGCUGGUGGAUCUGGAGGCUGACACUGCUGUGACCUCCUUCACACUGCAGGCUGGCCAGGCUGGUGGACAUUUAUAUUGAUUUGUGUCACACACGAUGACUUCAUCUUCUGAAACAAAACUCAGAAAUGUAUGUAGAAUAUUUCAAAUCCAGGCCAUCUUGAUUUUCUAUAAUAUCUGCUCCCAGUGUGAGAAUGUGUGUGUGCACACGUGUGUGUGUGUGCACGUGCACACAGAGCUCCUAGAUUUUAUUAGAUAGUGAAUGAGUUUCUGGGGCUGUGGGCUGACCUGUGGUUUAUCCAAAAGUUGGGGGUGAAGGCUGACCAUGGAGGGCAAUUAGCUCAUGAUCUCUGAGAGGGCAAAGGUCUCUCCUUAUGAUAAUAGCUCCUGCUUAUUGGACACUCCACAGGCCUCUGUGGGAAGUGUUCUAUGUAUAUUGCUUCUGAAUCUUACGACAACCUUGUGGGGUAGUUUUAAUGUCCCAUUUUAUUUAUUUUUAUUUAUUUAUUUUGUUUUAGGACCACAGGGGCGGCAUAGGGAGGUUGCCAGGCAAGGGGUCAAAUCAGAUCUACAGCUGCCGACCUACACCACAGCCACAGCAAUGUAGGAUCUGAGCUGCAUCUGCGACCUACACCACAGCUCAUGGCAGGCAAUGCUGAUCCUUAACCCACUGAGUGAGACCAGGGACUGAACCCAUGUCCUCAAGGAUACUAGUCAUUUUAGUAACCUGCUGAGCCUCAACAGAAACUCCACUUUUUUUUUUUUUUUUUUUUACUAUCCCACUUUAUAGAUGCAGGAACAGGACCAGGGUGCUGAAUUCAUCCAUUCGUUCAUGUACGCAUGCUCAUCAGAACAUUGCCGGCAGGCCCACUAUCUGCUCACCCCACCAGGAAGCGAGGGGGCUGGCCUAAGCCUCAGCCCAGAUGGGAUUAGACCUGGUCGUCUGUUCUAGUUUUCCCCACACCACUCCUGCUCAGAAGGAGGUGCCUCAAAGGUGCUUGAUAAAAGCCUGAGGAUGGGCUGAGUUCACAAACCAGGGAGAUGACUGAGCAGGGAGAUGGGGCUCUAGGGUGCUGGACUGGCCAGGGCUCAGAGGCAGGGCACUUGGGGCUGCCCCGGGGAGGCUUGGAAUCUGACCCUAAUCUGGUCCCAGCCCUGAGCCACCCUCACACACUUCACUUCCAUAAAUCCUGCCUGAAAAAUGGAAUCUCCUGUAUCUGUAUCUUUCUGCCUCUCCUGAGGCCUCAUUGUCCCCAGCCCUGUUGGCGGCAGCCCAGCCCCCUCAGUCCCUGCCUUGGAUACAGCACGACUGAGAUUCUUGAGACCUGUUUGUCGUCUUGUGUUAUAUCAACACGGCAGAAACAGUGGCAGCAAGGCUGAUAAAAUAAUAAAGCUGCUUAUUUGUGUCA